RNAcentral lists this non-coding RNA (23 nucleotides) under Rattus norvegicus (Norway rat). The record is from RNAcentral. Lineage: Eukaryota; Metazoa; Chordata; Mammalia; Rodentia; Muridae.
UUUAGUCUAACCUGUCAGGGAGU